Molecule: long non-coding RNA, 443 nt
Organism: Quercus lobata
Lineage: Eukaryota; Viridiplantae; Streptophyta; Magnoliopsida; Fagales; Fagaceae
Exons: 2
Source: RefSeq, a predicted model, not a curated record
AUCUCUGUACUUGAGGAAUACCAGGUAUAAUUUUUUUUUCACUCUCCUUGAAGCACUGAAAAUCUUCUUUAAAUGUCACUAAUAAAAGUUUGGCCAUCAUCUUUUGAUGGAUCUAUAUGAGUAUGUGUUGGGGUUCUCCCUUUUACUUAUGUCUGUUAACUUGGGUUUUUCAGCGAUGCUUUACCCUAACAGCAGUAAAUGGGUUUGGUCAGUACCAACUGACAAUGAAUGUUGUGGAAACAACUUUGUCCUGCUAUUAGAUGUAUCUGCAAGGUUGGUGGACAAAUUUUGACGUGGGAUGAUAAUCAAUAUCUGAUAUGGUUCUGGUUGCAUUUCAUCGAAUGUUUUUAUGAUGUUCCAAGUAAAAUAUUUGGAGGACAGAACCGAAAAGAAUAUGCUACACUGCCUGGUCACUCUGUUUUUUCAUGUCCAAAGUUUAAGUU